This 483-nucleotide small RNA is filed under the name Pongo abelii (Sumatran orangutan). Its description in RNAcentral is "retained intron". The record is from RNAcentral. Lineage: Eukaryota; Metazoa; Chordata; Mammalia; Primates; Hominidae.
UAGAGGCUGCCUUAUGCUGUCUCAUCCAGUUCCUUUGCGGUCCUCUUCUUCAGCACAUGCCAAAGCUGUUCCUCACGGCCUGUGAGACAAGAGCAUCUUGGAUAUAGGACAAUGGAAGAGUUAGAUGCCUUAUUGGAGGAACUGGAACGCUCCACUCUUCAGGACAGUGAUGAAUAUUCCAACCCAGCUCCUCUUCCCCUGGAUCAGCAUUCCAGAAAGGAGAGUAACCGUGAUGAGACUUCGGAGAUCCUUUCUGUUCAGGAUAACACAAGUCCCUUGCUGGCGCAGCUCGUGUAUACUACCAAUAUCCAGGAGCUCAAUGUCUACAGCGAAGCCCAAGAGCCGAAGAAAUCACCACCACCUUCUAAAACGUCAGCAGCUGCUCAGUUGGAUGAGCUCAUGGCUCACCUGACUGAGAUGCAGGCCAAGGUGAGUGCAGUCCAGAUGAUAAACAGGGCCCAUGCGGUCACCAGUUUAUCUUUG